GUGCUUUUUUGCUAUUUUCAUUGACUUCAGGAUAUCGUGAUACUGAGAAUUCAAUGAUGUAUAGCAAAGAGCCU
Molecule: microRNA precursor, 74 nt
Filed under: Nicotiana sylvestris (wood tobacco)
Lineage: Eukaryota; Viridiplantae; Streptophyta; Magnoliopsida; Solanales; Solanaceae
Also listed under: 1 other name
Description: MIR8041 microRNA precursor family
Rfam family: MIR8041 microRNA precursor family
Source: Rfam by way of RNAcentral